CAGAAAUCAUGCACCUGUACUCAGCAUCUCAACAAAUGAUCGUUUUGAUUUGUUUGGUUGCGUUCCUGUGUGCGUUUACAUCAGGAGUGAUCUCUCAUGACCCUAAAAAGCCAAUAUGCUGCAAAGAGGAUAUGCUCACAGUAGAAAGACCAAUGAGCAAAAUCUCAAAAUGUUACAUCUUUCCAGCAAAAGGCAAAUGUGCUGCGGCCGUAGUGUUGACUGAUGAAAGUAAAAGGUUGUAUUGCAUCGAUCCUAAAGCUGAUUGGCUCAGUAUAAGGA
Molecule: long non-coding RNA, 279 nt
Organism: Rhinichthys klamathensis goyatoka
Lineage: Eukaryota; Metazoa; Chordata; Actinopteri; Cypriniformes; Leuciscidae
Exons: 3
Source: RefSeq, a predicted model, not a curated record